UCUAUAAACCAACACCUAUUAGAGCUGAUAGAACCCUUAGAUAGUGAGGCCUGGUGGAAGGAAAAUAAGUAAGUCCUCGCAGGCUGUUUCUAUCCUUGAAGGGUAUGUAGGGACCCCAGCCCCUCUUCCAUCUUCCCCUUCUUGGCCGACAUGGGAUGAGCCACUUUGCUCCAACCAUGUUGUACUGCCUUGCUUCCUAAGCUGAGAAGCAAAGGGGAGAAGUCACCAUGGACUGAAACCAUGAAGAAAACAUACUUCCCCACAUAAACAAAUGAUCUGGAAUGUUUCCAACAGUAACAGGAGGCCAAUGAGCACAGCCACCCCAUUUCCAGGAAAUUUGAUACGCCUCUCCUGCUUCUUUUCACCGGACCAGCCG
RNAcentral lists this long non-coding RNA (376 nucleotides) under Rattus norvegicus (Norway rat). RNAcentral's name for it is "long non-coding RNA NONRATT032446". Lineage: Eukaryota; Metazoa; Chordata; Mammalia; Rodentia; Muridae. The record is from RNAcentral.